This 459-nucleotide ribosomal RNA is filed under the name uncultured bacterium. RNAcentral's name for it is "partial 16S ribosomal RNA". It matches the Rfam family "Bacterial small subunit ribosomal RNA", at positions 338 to 795 of the family's 1533-position model. The record is from RNAcentral.
CCUACGGGUGGCAGCAGUGAGGAAUAUUGGUCAAUGGACGGAAGUCUGAACCAGCCAUGCCGCGUGCAGGAUGACGGCCCUAUGAGUUGUAAACUGCUUUUGUACGAGAAUAAUAUUUCUUACGUGUAGGGCUUUGCAUGUACCGUACGAAUAAGGAUCGGCUAACUCCGUGCCAGCAGCCGCGGUAAUACGGAGGAUUCGAGCGUUAUCCGGAUUUAUUGGGUUUAAAGGGUGCGUAGGGGGGUUAUCAAGUCAGCGGUAAAAUCGUGGGGCUCAACUCCAGCCAGCCGUUGAAACUGAUGAUCUGGAGUGGGCGAGAAGUAUGCGGAAUGCGUGGUGUAGCGGUGAAAUGCAUAGAUAUCACGCAGAACUCCGAUUGCGAAGGCAGCAUACCGGGGCCCGACUGACGCUGAAGCACGAAAGCGUGGGUAUCGAACAGGAUUAGAUACCCGGGUAGUC